Molecule: ribosomal RNA, 302 nt
Filed under: Thermodesulfovibrio aggregans
Lineage: Bacteria; Pseudomonadati; Nitrospirota; Thermodesulfovibrionia; Thermodesulfovibrionales; Thermodesulfovibrionaceae
Description: partial 16S ribosomal RNA
Rfam family: Bacterial small subunit ribosomal RNA
Source: RNAcentral
UUAUAUGAGAGUUUGAUCCUGGCUCAGAGCGAACGCUGGCGGCGUGCCUAACACAUGCAAGUCGAGCGGACUAUAAAAAGGGGUAACUCUUUUUAUAGUUAGCGGCGAACGGGUGAGUAACACGUGGGUAACCUGCCCUCAGGUGGGGGAUAACUCGGGGAAACCUGAGCUAAUACCCCAUAAGACUACGAGCUGAAAUGCUUGUAGUAAAAGGAGUAAUUCGCCUGAGGAUGGGCCCGCGGCCUAUCAGGUAGUUGGUAGGGUAAUGGCCUACCAAGCCUAUGACGGGUAGCUGGCCUGAG